This 408-nucleotide ribosomal RNA is filed under the name uncultured bacterium. RNAcentral's name for it is "partial 16S ribosomal RNA". It matches the Rfam family "Bacterial small subunit ribosomal RNA", at positions 28 to 526 of the family's 1533-position model. The record is from RNAcentral.
GACGAACGCUGGCGGCGUGCUUAACACAUGCAAGUCGAACGAAGUGGCGAACGGGUGAGUACUACGUGGGUAACCUGCCCUCCUUUUUGGGAUAAGCCUUGGAAACGGGGUCUAAUACCGAAUACAGGGGGAUGGGCUCGCGGCCUAUCAGCCUGUUGGUGGGGGGAUGGCCUAUCAAGGCGGUGCCGGGUAGCCGGCCUGAGAGGGUGACAGGCCACAUUGGGACUGAGAUACGGCCCAGACUCCUACGGGAGGCAGCAGUGGGGGAUAUUGCACAAUGGGCGAAAGUGUGAUGCAGCAAUGCCGCGUGUAUGAAGAAGGCCUUCGGGUUGUAAAGUACUUUCAGUCGAGAGGCGUUACCGAAAGAAGAAGCACCGGCUAACUCCGUGCCAGCAGCCGCGGUAAUAC